GUUAAGUAUAGCGGGAGAGUAGUACUUGGUUCAAUUUUGGUGAUAUUCUUAAUUGGUUCAUUUCUGAGAAUUGACAAAGAAAGAAAAGAAAUUGAAACGAAUACCAGUGUGAUGGUCGAAUCAGUGUUUCAAAUACUAGCUUAUUCCACUUUACUAUUUUGCUUUUUAUUCAUGGUAAUAGCCUCUUCCAAGGUUGAUACAUGCAUGAUAAUGAUGGCCCGAAUGUGGUGUGCCAAUGAUCCAGGAGCCAGACAAGUUAUUUUAAAAUUUACUCGACUGGGUU
Molecule: long non-coding RNA, 283 nt
Organism: Trichogramma pretiosum
Lineage: Eukaryota; Metazoa; Arthropoda; Insecta; Hymenoptera; Trichogrammatidae
Exons: 3
Source: RefSeq, a predicted model, not a curated record